This 435-nucleotide ribosomal RNA is filed under the name uncultured bacterium. RNAcentral's name for it is "partial 16S ribosomal RNA". It matches the Rfam family "Bacterial small subunit ribosomal RNA", at positions 29 to 507 of the family's 1533-position model. The record is from RNAcentral.
AGCGAACGCUGGCGGCAGGCUUAACACAUGCAAGUCGAGCGGGCAUAGCAAUAUGUCAGCGGCAGACGGGUGAGUAACGCGUGGGAACGUACCUUUUGGUUCGGAACAACUGAGGGAAACUUCAGCUAAUACCGGAUAAGCCCUUACGGGGAAAGAUUUAUCGCCGAAAGAUCGGCCCGCGUCUGAUUAGCUAGUUGGUGAGGUAAUGGCUCACCAAGGCGACGAUCAGUAGCUGGUCUGAGAGGAUGAUCAGCCACAUUGGGACUGAGACACGGCCCAAACUCCUACGGGAGGCAGCAGUGGGGAAUAUUGGACAAUGGGCGCAAGCCUGAUCCAGCCAUGCUGCGUGAGUGAUGAAGGCCCUAGGGUUGUAAAGCUCUUUUGUGCGGGAAGAUAAUGACGGUACCGCAAGAAUAAGCCCCGGCUAACUUCGUG